UCAAGUGACUAAGUGUAUGUGGUGGAUGCCUUGGCGAUCACAGGCGAAGAAGGACGUAGUAGCUUGCGAUAAGCUGCGGGGAGCCGGCAAACGGGCAUUGAUCCGCAGAUUUCCGAAUGGGGGAACCCACCGACGUAAGUCGGUAUCACACACUGAAUACAUAGGUGUGUGAGGCGAACGGAGCGAACUGAAACAUCUAAGUAGCUCCAGGAAAAGAAAUCAACCGAGAUUGCGAAAGUAGCGGCGAGCGAAAUCGCAGCAGCCCAGUGUUCUGAUAGCACGAACGACAGCAGAAGGGUCUGGAAAGGCCUGCUAUAGAGGGUGAUAGCCCCGUAUGCGAAAUCGAACGUGUGGUACUAAGGGACCGAUAAGUAGGGCGGGACACGUGACAUCCUGUCUGAAGAUGGGGGGACCAUCCUCCAAGGCUAAAUACUCGUGAUCGACCGAUAGUGAACCAGUACUGUGAAGGAAAGGCGAAAAGAACCCCGGGAGGGGAGUGAAAUAGAACCUGAAACCGCAUACAUACAAACAGUAGGAGCCCGUGUAGUCGGGUGACUGCGUACCUUUUGCAUAAUGGGUCAGCGACUUACGUUUUGUGGCGAGCUUAACCGAGUAGGGGAGGCGUAGCGAAAGCGAGUUCGAAUAGAGCGAGAAGUCUCAAGGCGUAGACCCGAAACCAGAUGAGCUAUCCAUGGCCAGGUUGAAGGUGUGGUAACACACACUGGAGGACCGAACCGACUAGUGUUGCAAAAUUAGCGGAUGAGCUGUGGAUAGGGGUGAAAGGCUUAACAAAUCUGGAGAUAGCUGGUUCUCCCCGAAAACUAUUGAGGUAGUGCCUCGUGUAUUGCUCCAGGGGGUAGAGCACUGUUAUGGCUAGGGGGACAUGGCGUCUUACCAAACCAUGGCAAACUCCGAAUACUUGGAAGUAAGAGCACGGGAGACAGAGCACCGGGUGCUAACGUCCGGACUCAAGAGGGAAACAACCCAGACCGCCGUUUAAGGUCCCAAAUAUUGACUAAGUGGAAAACGAAGUGUGAAGGCUAAGACAGUCAGGAAGUUGGCUUAGAAGCAGCCAUCCUUCAAAGAAAGCGUAAUAGCUCACUGAUCGAGUCCUCAUGCGCGGAAGAUGUAACGGGGCUAAGUCAAUAACCGAAAGCGCGGAUUUGCACGAUGAGUGCAAGUGGUAGGGGAGCGUUCUGUAAGCCUGCGAAGGUGGUUCGAGAGGACUGCUGGAGGUAUCAGAAGUGCGAAUGCUGACAUGAGUAACGUUAAAGCGGGUGAAAAGCCCGCUCGCCGUAAGCCCAAGGUUUCCUGCUCUACGUUCAUCGGAGCAGGGUGAGUCGGCCCCUAAGGCCAGGCUGAGAAGCGUAGUCGAUGGGAAGCAGAUUAAUAUUUCUGCACCAUGUGCAAGUGCGAUGGGGGGACGGAGUGCGAAAGAUCAUCCGGGUGUUGGAUGUCCCGGUUUGUGAGUGUAGAAGGCCGACAGGCAAAUCCGUCGGCAGAUCUUCGAGACAAAGCAUCGAGGUUCUACGGAACCGAAGUGAUCGGAAGUGCUUCCAGGAAAAGCCUCUAAGCUCCAGCUUGCAUGUGACCGUACCGUAAACCGACACUGGUGGGCGAGUUGAAUAUACUCAGGCGCUUGAGAGAACUCGGGAGAAGGAACUCGGCAAAUUGACACCGUAACUUCGGGAUAAGGUGUGCCUUUGUAGCGUGAAGAGAGAAACACUCGGAGCGUGAAGAGGCCUCAGAGAAUCGGUGGCUGCAACUGUUUAUUAAAAACACAGCACUCUGCAAAGACGAAAGUCGACGUAUAGGGUGUGAUGCCUGCCCGGUGCUGGAAGAUUAAGUGAUGGGGUGAGAGCUCCUGAUCGAAGUCCCAGUAAACGGCGGCCGUAACUAUAACGGUCCUAAGGUAGCGAAAUUCCUUGUCGGGUAAGUUCCGACCUGCACGA
RNAcentral lists this ribosomal RNA (1952 nucleotides) under human gut metagenome. RNAcentral's name for it is "bacterial LSU rRNA". It matches the Rfam family "Bacterial large subunit ribosomal RNA", at positions 3 to 1995 of the family's 2925-position model. The record is from RNAcentral.